AGAAUCAACGCUGGCGGCGUGCCUAACACAUGCAAGUCGAACGCGAAAGCCCCGCAAGGGGUGAGUAGAGUGGCAAACGGGUGAGUAACACGUGGGUGAUCUGCCUCAGAGUGGGGGAUAACGACCCGAAAGGGUCGCUAAUACCGCAUAACAUCCUGCCUUUGGAUAGGUGGAGAUCAAAGUUGGGGAUCCGCAAGGACCUGACGCUUGGAGAGGAGCCCGCGGCCGAUUAGCUAGUUGGUGAGGUAACGGCUCACCAAGGCAACGAU
Molecule: ribosomal RNA, 269 nt
Filed under: uncultured soil bacterium
Lineage: Bacteria
Description: partial 16S ribosomal RNA
Rfam family: Bacterial small subunit ribosomal RNA
Source: RNAcentral